GUCACACUAUUAUAGAAAGAACUAUAACGGUAAACCAACAUAUUAAAACAUAUAUCUUGUGGUGAAAUAUUAGUAUUAAUAUCUCAAAAUCUAUGUAACAAGUGCUAAACGUAAUUAGUAAACAAGGAUUAGAGACCCUUUUAUACAUACGCCGACUGAACUAACCGAGUACUACAACUAUCAGAGUUAAAACUUAAACAACAUGGCGGUAACUUUCAAUUUAGGGGAACUUACUCAGUAAAUGAUAACCACCAAGGCAUAGUAACUAUAAGUCACUCUUGUAUGCCGUCGUCGUCAGAUAACACUUGAAGUUUUAUCAUAAUAAAAAUUUUUAAAAAGACAGAUCAAGGUGCAGACAAUCUUAUAGAUAGGGCGAGUUACAAUUUAAAUUUCUAUCAGAUGUAACACUUAAUAUAAACUGAAGCAGGACUUAAAAGUAAUCUAUAAUAUAAAUACUAUUUGGAAUAUUUAAAGUUGUGCACAA
Molecule: ribosomal RNA, 484 nt
Filed under: Sulcobasis sp. PNG
Lineage: Eukaryota; Metazoa; Mollusca; Gastropoda; Stylommatophora; Camaenidae
Description: partial 12S ribosomal RNA
Source: RNAcentral